Long non-coding RNA from Acanthochromis polyacanthus (spiny chromis), 411 nucleotides. RefSeq lists it as uncharacterized. The record is from RefSeq and is a predicted model, not a curated record. Lineage: Eukaryota; Metazoa; Chordata; Actinopteri; Pomacentridae. The transcript is spliced from 4 exons.
UGACACAGCAACUCUUUCUUCAGCAGUGGAUACAGAAUGAUCCAGUUCUUAUUCCACUUUUGGUAUAUUCUAUUUGUGGGGGAAGGAGUCCAGGUCCUGCAUCCUUUCAGAUACAAUAAGUGAACAGACAUUUCUAUUGGCUUCUCUUGGACCAGCACUGAUGCUUCAUAUGUUCUAUGCAAACUCCAUGAGCGUCCAGCUUUAAAAACAUCAGACUGUCAGCAAAGUUCACAGCACAUCAGUUUCACCUCCAACCAUGUUGUCUGUAGCUCUACUGCUGCUCUUUGCAGCUGCAUCCUGUGUGAAGUGUGAACAGUUGACUCAGCCACAAUCUGUGACUGUGCAGCCAGGUCAACGUCUCUCCAUCACCUGUCAGGUCUCUUAUUCUUUGGGCAGCUACACAGCUUGGAU